UGGGGAAUUUUGCACAAUGGGGGAAACCCUGAUGCAGCGACGCCGCGUGAUUUAGAAGGCCUUCGGGUUGUAAAAAUCUUUUCUAUGGGAAGAAAAUGACAGUACCAUAGGAAUAAGGACCGGCUAAUUACUUGCCAGCAGCCGCGGUAAUACGUAAGGUCCGAGCGUUGUCCGGAAUCAUUGGGCGUAAAGGGUACGUAGGCGGGUAAGCAAGUUAGAAGUGAAAUCCUAUAGCUCAACUAUAGUAAGCUUUUAAAACUGCUCAUCUUGAGGUAUGGAAGGGAAAGUGGAAUUCCUAGUGUAGCGGUGAAAUGCGCAGAUAUUAGGAGGAAUACCGGUGGCGAAGGCGACUUUCUGGCCAUAACCUGACGCUGAGGUACGAAAGCGUGGGUAGCAAACAGG
RNAcentral lists this ribosomal RNA (402 nucleotides) under bacterium. Its description in RNAcentral is "partial 16S ribosomal RNA". It matches the Rfam family "Bacterial small subunit ribosomal RNA", at positions 355 to 776 of the family's 1533-position model. The record is from RNAcentral.